CUGCAAGAAAGAAGUCGGGCGGGAGGCACGCCCCGAAUGCGCCCACCCGCUUCGCUCCUCUUCUUUCAAACUCACCUAGGCCAAGACAGGAUACCCGAAGACCAGACUUCCCCAGGACACCAACCCAAGGACACUCCAUCCCAGAGGGGCCCAGCCUGGAGAUCCGAGCAUCCCUGGCCUUCCUGGGGGGGCACCCACGAAGACAAAGAGAGGGACGGAGUAAGGGAGCGCCCAGGUGAUGGGAAGAAGAGAUGGAGUGAACUGGGACCUUCUUAGCGAAGACUGAGGGGUCCUGGCGGCGUCCCAGGAAGCCUCAGGGGUCAGGAAAGGGGAGCAGAUGGGGUGGGCUGCUCAGCCACCCCCAUACCUGUAUUUCAUGCCAGUGCCUCGGCCGGUGCUCUCUCGGAGGGCCCCCGCGGGCGCUGGGGGUCGGGGGACCAGUGCGGCCCGGGCCUUAGGGCCCGACCCUCCUCCCCCCGGAGGAUUCCCCUGACCCCCGCCGACCGGCCCGCCAUUACCGCCCCCGGGGCCCGGCCGGGGUCCACACAGACGGUCCUCGCUGCUCCGGCUGCGAAGGUUCUGCUCGGUACAAGCGAUAGACACCUGCAUGCCUGCUGGCCAGGGCGGGGGAGGGGGCUCCGA
Suricata suricatta (meerkat) is the source of this 642-nucleotide long non-coding RNA. RefSeq lists it as uncharacterized. Lineage: Eukaryota; Metazoa; Chordata; Mammalia; Carnivora; Herpestidae. The transcript is spliced from 3 exons. The record is from RefSeq and is a predicted model, not a curated record.